RNAcentral lists this ribosomal RNA (547 nucleotides) under Bipolaris sp. CSS11659. RNAcentral describes it as "eukaryotic LSU rRNA". The stretch from base 167 to 320 matches the Rfam family "5.8S ribosomal RNA". Lineage: Eukaryota; Fungi; Ascomycota; Dothideomycetes; Pleosporales; Pleosporaceae. The record is from RNAcentral.
AAUUCAUGGGUCGGUAUGACGCUGUCCGCAGCUGGAGUAUUUUAUUACCCUUGUCUUUUGCGCACUUGUUGUUUCCUGGGCGGGUUCGCUCGCCACCAGGACCACCAAAUAAACCUUUUUUAUGCAGUUGCAAUCAGCGUCAGUACAAACAAUGUAAAUCAUUUACAACUUUCAACAACGGAUCUCUUGGUUCUGGCAUCGAUGAAGAACGCAGCGAAAUGCGAUACGUAGUGUGAAUUGCAGAAUUCAGUGAAUCAUCGAAUCUUUGAACGCACAUUGCGCCCUUUGGUAUUCCAAAGGGCAUGCCUGUUCGAGCGUCAUUUGUACCCUCAAGCUUUGCUUGGUGUUGGGCGUUUUUGUCUUUGGUCGCCCAAAGACUCGCCUUAAAGUGAUUGGCAGCCGGCCUUUCUGGUUUCGCAGCGCAGCACAUUUUUGCGCUUGCCAUCAGCAAAACGGCAAUCCAUCAAGCCUCCUUCUCACGUUUGACCUCGGAUCAGGUAGGGAUACCCGCUGAACUUAAGCAUAUCAAGGCGGGGGAAGAAAAAAA